UCACCACCUAUCAACAGAUUAAUCGAAGAUUCAUGAUUUAUGAACAAAAACAAAAUGUCUGUAAAAACCUUCAGAAGACUGAAUAAUACUGAAUAAAACUGGACAAUUGGUGAAUGAAGGUGAAUGUUAUAGAUAAUCGCUGAAACUGCCAGGUGAUGGAUGAUUUAAGGUGGUAAAGGUGAUCAAACUGCCAGGUGAGGGAUGAUUUAAGGUGGUAAAGGUGGUCAAACUGCCACGGGAGGGAUGAUUUAAGGUGGUAAUGGUGGUGAAACUGCCAGGUGAUGGAUGAUUUAAGGUGGUAAAAGUGGUGAAACUGCCAGGUGAGGGAUGAUGUAAGAUGGUAAAGGUGGCUAAACUGCCACAGGAGGGAUGAUUUAAGGUGGUAAUGGUGGUGAAACUGCCGGGUGAGGGAUGAUUUAAGGCGGUAAAGGUGGUGUAAGUGCCAGGUGAGGAAUCAUUUAAGGUGGUGAUGGUGGUGAAACUGCCAGGUGAGGGAUGAUUUAAGGUGGUAAAGGUGGUGGAGGUGAUGGAUGAUUUAAGGUAGUAAAGGUGAUCAAACUGCCAGGUGAGGGAUGAUUUAAGGUGGUAAUGGUGGUGAAACUGCUGGGUGAGGGCUGAUUUAAGGUGGUAAUGGUGGUGAAACUGCUGGGUGAGGGCUGAUUUAAGGUGGUAAUGGUGGUGAAACUGCUGGGUGAGGGCUGAUUUAAGGUGGUAAUGGUGGUGAAACUGCUGGGUGAG
Amphiprion ocellaris (clown anemonefish) is the source of this 738-nucleotide long non-coding RNA. NCBI's taxonomy places the organism in Eukaryota, Metazoa, Chordata, Actinopteri, Pomacentridae. The record is from Ensembl.